CAAAAUGUUAGCUGUCUUUUAACCGGCUGUUCUUCUUUGUCAACGCUACUAAGGACCUCUAGGUUCGCCUACUUGAUGAAUGAAAGAACAUGAGAAAGGGUUAUAAAGGAAAAGGCGAUGAAAGCCCACUACAGUACAGUCGAAGUCAGCGGCUGAGUUAGCCUAGCCUCGCCUACUAUUUCUUUUUAGUAGGCGAGCGAGUUAGCGAAGACGCUUAGGCUAAUAGAUAAGAGAGCGUCGGUGCGUAGCCUUCAUUCUACUACGCUACGCAAAGUCACUUAGCUCGACGUUAAGAGAGUAAAGGGGGAAUACCCUACAUAGAAGAACCACUGUUCGCUUACUAAGGUAUAACCUUUCGCUCCCCGGGGCAAAGCCGCUUCGCACCACUGAUAGAUCAUGCAA
This 402-nucleotide long non-coding RNA is filed under the name Elaeis guineensis (African oil palm). RNAcentral's name for it is "long non-coding RNA (EGUI_LNC013204)". Lineage: Eukaryota; Viridiplantae; Streptophyta; Magnoliopsida; Arecales; Arecaceae. The record is from RNAcentral.